UCAAGAAUUAAAAAAACUCUCAUCCAAACGCAGCGUUAUAGUUAUGUUUUGUCUGUUGGGUUGGAGAUGGCUAAAAUACAAUAUUAAGGGGAGAUAUAUGCCAUAGAUGAUAAAUAUCACUGUAAUACCCCAGUUUUUCAUAUCAAUUUUCUUGUAUUAUUUCCGAAAUUAAUGAAGGAUUAUUUUGUGGAAAUACUUAUUCGUGUGUGUAAAGUUAAAGUUUCGGGAGUUAAAUUUUUUAAGGUGCUUUGAUUUUUAAGUGGCCAAAAGUUGACUUUUUUAUCCGUAAGUUAUUUUCAAAAACUUCGUAAAUGAAAGUUGUAGAGUUUGGCGAUAUGAGUUCGUAGACAUGCGGCACGCGUAAAACGAAAGUCAUAUGAAAAAGUUACGGUCAGAGGAAAUUAGUUUCCGAUUUUGGAAGGUAUAUAAAUAAAAAGUGGUGGGUUUUAUUUUUGGAAACCCUAGAAAAUGCAAAACCGGUUUCUCUCUCCUCUCUCCCGAGCUCACCGACGCCAGAUUUUUGCUAGACCGUAACUCGGCCAUCCGACCACCAAAUUGGACGCCGUUGGUCCCGUUAGAUUCGCACGGACCUCCUCUCCACUCCUGGAGCAGCAUGGCUCGCUGUCUCGCCGCUUAGACUGUCACGUCCCCAAACCGAGGCCAAUAUUAUAAGAAAAUAUGGUGACCGAAUUUGCGGCGUGAGUUAAAACAAAUAAAAUUUUCUUGAAUAAUUUAUUAGAAGAAGAAAUAUAUAUGUCUAAAUAAUACUUUUAUUAGAAAGCGAAAGCAUAAAUAUUUUACAAUACCAAAUAUUUUACAAUACGAGAGUUUUAGCAAAAAUAUAUAAGACAUUACAUUUAUUCUCAAAAUAGCAAUAGAAAACAUUCUUUUAUUUAGUAGGUUCAUCCUAUUCCCCAAGCAUCUAUUCGUUACCUAAAAACAAGAAUGUGUAGCAUCAUGAGUAACACAGACUCAAUAAGUACAACAUACAUUCUUAUAAUAAUGUGUCUUAUAAGAAACCAGAAAUAAACACAACUAAGUAAAAAUGUGCCAAGAAUCAUUUUUAUUUGUUCAUACCGUUUCUUAUUUAUGCACACACACAUAUACAAGCGUGAAUAAAUUCAUCCAUGUGAAUAUUUAGGAAACUGGUAAUAAAUCAUAAAGAUCACAUGCUAGGUCCACUAUACCAAAGCACCGAUAACCCGUAGCAUACCAAGGACAAUACCAGAGUAUGUAUACUCAAGGUCGACACUUUUUUCCUAUGAGUAUAAUAGUGCACUAUCUGUAGGGACUAGGGCCCAGGCUAACUCCACAAAUCACAAAACACUUUUACCAGUAAUUCACUUAAGCACGUGGUAGUACUAAUCACCCGGCUUCACAUCUCCAAAUAUAAUUACGUCAAUAAAAUAUAGCAAACUUUAGUAAGUAAGACAAUUACUUCAAGACCAAUAAAGUAUAUAUAUAAGCGUAUAUCAAUAUACUUAAAAAUUUGUCAAUAACUUAAGGUAUGCACAAGAUAAGCAAUUUAAUAAACUUGAAAGUAAAUGUGCAAUAAAGUAAACGUACUUUUAAUUAAAUAAACAGAAAAUAUUAGUCAGUAGUCAAAGAAUUAGUAGUCACAUUUCCC
Molecule: long non-coding RNA, 1627 nt
Filed under: Fragaria vesca (wild strawberry)
Lineage: Eukaryota; Viridiplantae; Streptophyta; Magnoliopsida; Rosales; Rosaceae
Description: long non-coding RNA (FVES_LNC002359)
Source: RNAcentral